ACCCGCACAAGCGGUGGAUGAUGUGGAUUAAUUCGACGCAACGCGAAGAACCUUACCAGGGCUUGACAUCCCCUGACCGCGUAUGAAAGUACGUUUUCACCCUCGGGUGACAGGGAGACAGGUGGUGCAUGGUUGUCGUCAGCUCGUGUCGUGAGAUGUUGGGUUAAGUCCCCGCAACGAGCGCAACCCCUACGUUUAGUUGCUAACGCGUGAAGGCGAGCACUCUAGACGAACUGCCGUUGACAAAACGGAGGAAGGUGGGGAUGACGUCAAAUCAUCAUGCCCCUUAUGUUCUGGGCUACACACGUGCUACAAUGGCCGGUACAGACGGAGGCGAAGCCGCGAAGCGGAGCAAAUCCGAAAAAGCCGGUCUCAGUUCGGAUUGCAGGCUGCAAUUCGCCUGCAUGAAGUCGGAAUCGCUAGUAAUCGCAGGUCAGCAUACUGCGGUGAAUACGUUCCCGGGCCUU
RNAcentral lists this ribosomal RNA (467 nucleotides) under uncultured Pelotomaculum sp. Its description in RNAcentral is "bacterial SSU rRNA". It matches the Rfam family "Bacterial small subunit ribosomal RNA", at positions 919 to 1382 of the family's 1533-position model. Lineage: Bacteria; Bacillati; Bacillota; Clostridia; Eubacteriales; Desulfotomaculaceae. The record is from RNAcentral.